CGUUAUCAUGAUACAUUUAGCUACACUGAUCUAUAAUUGUUAAACCUUUUACUACUUGAAUAGUGACGAAAUAUAUCAAAGGGACAUCAAACUAAUAAUUAAAAACGAACUGACAAAGCCGGGCAAAAAACGAACAAGACAAGCAACAGUAUACAAAACACAACAUAUAAAACUACAGAUUGAGUAACACAAACCCCCCCCCAAAAAAAA
Molecule: long non-coding RNA, 210 nt
Filed under: Mytilus galloprovincialis (Mediterranean mussel)
Lineage: Eukaryota; Metazoa; Mollusca; Bivalvia; Mytilida; Mytilidae
Source: RNAcentral